RNAcentral lists this long non-coding RNA (463 nucleotides) under Hordeum vulgare. RNAcentral describes it as "long non-coding RNA (HVUL_LNC004729)". The record is from RNAcentral. Lineage: Eukaryota; Viridiplantae; Streptophyta; Magnoliopsida; Poales; Poaceae.
AAGCUGAUAUUUUUUGUAAACUAUGUGUUCCUUUUACCACUUUGUUACCUUUAGUUUUAUCUCAAAAAGUAUCUGGUCAAUUAUGCACAUGCUUGCGAAUUCGCAUACAUGCCGAUUAGAGCAACAUCAAAAUUACACCAAAAAGACCACUUUCACUAUGGGAAAAAGCUCCAUUUUUUCAUACCGAAGUCCUCACAUAUACUACCUACAGAAAAAACAACUCGAGAAAAGCUCCAUUUUCUCAUGGCACUAGAUCUUGGAGACAUAAAGGAACAGUUGGUAGGCAAACUUUGUACCCUGUUGAAAACAAUGCAAGAGAAUCGGAAAAUUCACCUGAAAAAUGUUGAAUAUAUGAUUUGUUUAUUUAAGAUUGUAUAGUUAAGAUUGAGACCCACUUUGUACUCUAUAGUCUAUAUAUACAUGUGCUACGCACCGAUCAAUACGUUGUGAAGCAUUGCCAAAC